Molecule: long non-coding RNA, 1308 nt
Organism: Mastomys coucha (southern multimammate mouse)
Lineage: Eukaryota; Metazoa; Chordata; Mammalia; Rodentia; Muridae
Exons: 2
Source: RefSeq, a predicted model, not a curated record
GUCCCAGCCGCCAGCCGCGCGCCUGUGUCGGUGGUGGUGCGGCGCGGCGGGGGGCGCACGGUGCGAGGCCCGGGGGCGGUGCGGGUGCGGUCGCGGACAACCACAGCGCGCCCGGCGCCGGGGCGGUGGCCCCGCAGCCCAGGGUGGCGGCGGAGGUGCCCACCAGCCACCGUCUAGGCCGUCGUGCGAGCAGCUGAGAUGGCGUGGUGGCGGUAGCAGCUCUAGGCUGGCGCAGUGGCGGCAGUGCCACGCGGGGCCGCCGCGCGGGGGCAGGUAGUCCCAGCUACCAGCGCGCCAGCCCCCGAGCUUGUCGACCGACCAGUAGCGGCCGGGUGGCGGCCCGAGGCGCUCGGCAUACGGGUAGGGGAAGUCGGCGAACCACCAGGGCUCCAGGCCUCCGAGCGACGCUCCGCCCAGGCUCUCCGAGUCCUCCGAGUCCGAAGGCGAAGGCUCGAGGUCCAGGCGCCUCCCCUGCCUCCUCGCUCCCUUUCCUACCCUGGAGAAGGCCAGUAGGAAAUCCAUGCGGUGGGUGGGCCCUAGGCAAUGCCUCAGGCGCCAGUACACCAGGUGUUCCCAGGCGAAGACCAGCAAAGAGAGGCCCAUGGCUACGAGGAGCAUGUAGAAGACACCUGCCAUGUUGUCGAUAUCCAGCUUGCUGCUCAUCACCUCGAUCUUGUCAUUGUGGCAGAUCCCUGAAAGCCACAGCCGCUCCAGCAUCUCAAUCUCAUCUGAGGAUGGGGUCAGAGUCACUUAUUAGGAGCACACUCUCCUCUGAUACAGAGUCCAGGCCCCAACCCCUUCCAUUCUUAAAGACCCUCCUCCCCAGGACCGAGGGUCAGCCCUCCCCUCUCCAGAGGAGGACUUCAUGCCCAGCAUAGCCGCACCAUCCCCCAGGAACUGCAGCAGCGCCAGGUCGAUGGGCCUCUUCCAGCGGGAGCCCUUGUGUAGGGCGAUGCCAUAACCAGUGGUGGCGAAGACCUUGCCGGAGCCGAUGGUGACCAGCUUGCAGCCCUCAUCCUUGCGGGCCAUGUAGUUGAGCACUGCUGCGUCAUAGAUGAAGGCGUCCAGUUUCCUGAGGACAGGGGCAGGAAAGACAGGGUCAGUCUCAUUUAGAUGACUUCACAGCACUCCAGGAACGCCUUUCAUCUGUAACCUGCAACUGCUCAGGAUCGACUGAGCAGAUAUUCCUUGUGGUUCUUUCCCACAUUGGUAAAACAUCAUUAUUCUAAAUACCACCAAGCCCAAGCUUUUGCAGAAGUGACAGUUCCUGGUAGGAAAGCGGCUCUGGAGAAAUGACAGCCAUUGUAA